This 1556-nucleotide ribosomal RNA is filed under the name Salmonella enterica subsp. enterica serovar Krefeld str. SA20030536. Its description in RNAcentral is "bacterial SSU rRNA". It matches the Rfam family "Bacterial small subunit ribosomal RNA". Lineage: Bacteria; Pseudomonadati; Pseudomonadota; Gammaproteobacteria; Enterobacterales; Enterobacteriaceae. The record is from RNAcentral.
UUAAAUUGAAGAGUUUGAUCAUGGCUCAGAUUGAACGCUGGCGGCAGGCCUAACACAUGCAAGUCGAACGGUAACAGGAAGCAGCUUGCUGCUUCGCUGACGAGUGGCGGACGGGUGAGUAAUGUCUGGGAAACUGCCUGAUGGAGGGGGAUAACUACUGGAAACGGUGGCUAAUACCGCAUAACGUCGCAAGACCAAAGAGGGGGACCUUCGGGCCUCUUGCCAUCAGAUGUGCCCAGAUGGGAUUAGCUUGUUGGUGAGGUAACGGCUCACCAAGGCGACGAUCCCUAGCUGGUCUGAGAGGAUGACCAGCCACACUGGAACUGAGACACGGUCCAGACUCCUACGGGAGGCAGCAGUGGGGAAUAUUGCACAAUGGGCGCAAGCCUGAUGCAGCCAUGCCGCGUGUAUGAAGAAGGCCUUCGGGUUGUAAAGUACUUUCAGCGGGGAGGAAGGUGUUGUGGUUAAUAACCACAGCAAUUGACGUUACCCGCAGAAGAAGCACCGGCUAACUCCGUGCCAGCAGCCGCGGUAAUACGGAGGGUGCAAGCGUUAAUCGGAAUUACUGGGCGUAAAGCGCACGCAGGCGGUCUGUCAAGUCGGAUGUGAAAUCCCCGGGCUCAACCUGGGAACUGCAUUCGAAACUGGCAGGCUUGAGUCUUGUAGAGGGGGGUAGAAUUCCAGGUGUAGAGGUGAAAUGCGUAGAGAUCUGGAGGAAUACCGGUGGCGAAGGCGGCCCCCUGGACAAAGACUGACGCUCAGGUGCGAAAGCGUGGGGAGCAAACAGGAUUAGAUACCCUGGUAGUCCACGCCGUAAACGAUGUCUACUUGGAGGUUGUGCCCUUGAGGCGUGGCUUCCGGAGCUAACGCGUUAAGUAGACCGCCUGGGGAGUACGGCCGCAAGGUUAAAACUCAAAUGAAUUGACGGGGGCCCGCACAAGCGGUGGAGCAUGUGGUUUAAUUCGAUGCAACGCGAAGAACCUUACCUGGUCUUGACAUCCACAGAACUUUCCAGAGAUGGAUUGGUGCCUUCGGGAACUGUGAGACAGGUGCUGCAUGGCUGUCGUCAGCUCGUGUUGUGAAAUGUUGGGUUAAGUCCCGCAACGAGCGCAACCCUUAUCCUUUGUUGCCAGCGAUUCGGUCGGGAACUCAAAGGAGACUGCCAGUGAUAAACUGGAGGAAGGUGGGGAUGACGUCAAGUCAUCAUGGCCCUUACGACCAGGGCUACACACGUGCUACAAUGGCGCAUACAAAGAGAAGCGACCUCGCGAGAGCAAGCGGACCUCAUAAAGUGCGUCGUAGUCCGGAUUGGAGUCUGCAACUCGACUCCAUGAAGUCGGAAUCGCUAGUAAUCGUGGAUCAGAAUGCCACGGUGAAUACGUUCCCGGGCCUUGUACACACCGCCCGUCACACCAUGGGAGUGGGUUGCAAAAGAAGUAGGUAGCUUAACCUUCGGGAGGGCGCUUACCACUUUGUGAUUCAUGACUGGGGUGAAGUCGUAACAAGGUAACCGUAGGGGAACCUGCGGUUGGAUCACCUCCUUACCUUAAAGAAGC